This 253-nucleotide ribosomal RNA is filed under the name uncultured bacterium. Its description in RNAcentral is "partial 16S ribosomal RNA". It matches the Rfam family "Bacterial small subunit ribosomal RNA", at positions 524 to 776 of the family's 1533-position model. The record is from RNAcentral.
UACGUAGGGUGCAAGCGUUAAUCGGAAUUACUGGGCGUAAAGCGUGCGCAGGCGGUUAUGUAAGACAGUUGUGAAAUCCCCGGGCUCAACCUGGGAACUGCAUCUGUGACUGCAUAGCUAGAGUACGGUAGAGGGGGAUGGAAUUCCGCGUGUAGCAGUGAAAUGCGUAGAUAUGCGGAGGAACACCGAUGGCGAAGGCAGCCCCCUGGGCUGAGAUUGACGCUCAGGCACGAAAGCGUGGGGAGCAAACAGG